Molecule: non-coding RNA, 368 nt
Organism: Nicotiana tabacum (common tobacco)
Lineage: Eukaryota; Viridiplantae; Streptophyta; Magnoliopsida; Solanales; Solanaceae
Source: RefSeq, a predicted model, not a curated record
GAAGAAACAAAGAUUCAAAGGAUCACUGGAAUUAAAAGGGUUAACUACUUUCGAUGUCAAAUUCAAGAGUGAUGGGAAAAGGAGUAGGGGAAGAGAUCUAUCAAUCAUUUCUAUAUGAUUAUAAAAGUAAUUUCCUGGAAUUUAAGGGGUUUAAACGAUAAGAAGAAAAGGGAGAUAAUAAAAAGUCAAGUGCAGAAUUGGAGGGCAGACAUUAUUUGCUUGCAAGAAACAAAAGUCGAGGGGGAUAUCGAGGAAAUAGUCAGGCAAAUAUGGGGUGGUAGAUGGGUGAGGUAUGCAUGUUUAGAAGCUAGCGGCACGAGAGGGGGGAUUUUGUUGUUAUGGGAUUGCAGAGUAUGGAAAGGGGAGGU